AUUGAACGCUGGCGGCGUGCCUAACACAUGCAAGUCGAGCGGUAACAGGUGUAGCAAUACAUGCUGACGAGCGGCGGACGGGUGAGUAACGCUUGGGAAUCUGCCUAUUAGUGGGGGACGAACCCGGGGAAACGUCGGGCUAAUACCGCAUACGCACUACGGUGGAAGCCGGGGACCGCAAGGCCUGGCGCUAACAGAUGAGCCCAAGUCGGAUUAGCUAGUUGGUAGGGUAACGGCC
RNAcentral lists this ribosomal RNA (238 nucleotides) under uncultured bacterium. RNAcentral's name for it is "partial 16S ribosomal RNA". It matches the Rfam family "Bacterial small subunit ribosomal RNA", at positions 30 to 265 of the family's 1533-position model. The record is from RNAcentral.